GCGUCAGUAGUGUAACGGAAAGAGCACGCAUUCCCGGAAAGUGUAAGGUGCGGGCUCUAGUCCCGCCUGACGCG
Parelaphostrongylus tenuis is the source of this 74-nucleotide non-coding RNA. NCBI's taxonomy places the organism in Eukaryota, Metazoa, Nematoda, Chromadorea, Rhabditida, Metastrongylidae. The record is from the annotation of a GenBank genome assembly.